AAUUGAGGUUUUUCGCAAAAUCGAGAAGGAAGUAAAAUCGUAAAUCUUGGAAUCAUAAUAUAUGCAUAUAGAUUAGCAUUAGUAAGGCAUAGAAAACCUUAAAAUUGAAUCACUAGAAAUACUUGUGUAAAUCAUAUUUGAAAUGCUUAUGUAAAUUUAAAUUCAUUCAUAAGCAUAAUAGGGGUGUAUCCACCCGAUUCCGCCAAAAUUGGAUUAUGUGCAUACUCUUAAUCGCUGAGGGCAAUAAAUAAUUGCAAAAUCUUGGGAUUUUAUGAUUCAAAUCGGGAUUUUAACUAACACACAUGGUAAAUUGAUAAUUGAAGUUUUUUAUUGUUUUAGAUAGUUUAUGGUGACUAAUUAGCCAUUCACACUGCAACUGCAUGGUUGCUCCUUUAUGUGUGUUUGUGGUCAGUAAGCUCACCUAGAUUUUUCCAAUCAAGCUGCUCGCUCCACUGUGAGCAUUUGAGGAUUCACUGGAUCACUCUGUUGAUCUACAUUUCACAAUACUACGAACAAUUUUAUGAGAUUUAUUUUUGUGAUUAGUUCUGUUUCUGCACCGACUCUGAAAUUUUUGUGUAUUAGUGUUGUUUUUUUUAAACAGUUUUGUAUUAGUGUAAUCUAGAAAGUUCUAAGAUCUUUUAGAUUGUUGUUAGAGAGAAGUUUAGUAUAUGCUAAUUUGGUAAAUCCUGAUUAAUUACCAAAUGCCUUGAUAAUAAUCUGAAGACUUUUCAUUAUGUAACUGAAAACUCACUUCUAAUGCAGUAGCCAAUUAGCCAGUC
RNAcentral lists this long non-coding RNA (779 nucleotides) under Trifolium pratense (red clover). Its description in RNAcentral is "long non-coding RNA (TPRA_LNC009037)". The record is from RNAcentral. Lineage: Eukaryota; Viridiplantae; Streptophyta; Magnoliopsida; Fabales; Fabaceae.